CCUACGGGUGGCAGCAGUGAGGAAUAUUGGUCAAUGGGCGCGAGCCUGAACCAGCCAAGUAGCGUGAAGGGUGACUGCCCUACGGGUUGUAACCUUCUUUUAUAAAGGAAUAAAGUGAGGCACGUGUGCCUUUUUGUAUGUACUUUAUGAAUUAGGAUAGGCUAACUCCGUGCCAGCAGCCGCGGUAAUACGGAGGAUCCGAGCGUUAUCCGGAUUUAUUGGGUUGAAAGGGAGCGGAGAUGGGUUGUUAAGUCAGUUGUGAAAGGUUGCGGCUCAACCGGAAAAUUGCAAUUGAUACUGGCAGUCUUGAGUACAGUUGAGGUAGGCGGAAUUCGUGGUGUAGCGGUGAAAUGCUUAGAUAUCACGAAGAACUCCGAUUGCGAAGGCAGCUUACUAAACUGCCACUGACAUUGAUGCUCGAAAGUGUGGGUAUCAAACAGGAUUAGAUACCCUUGUAGUC
RNAcentral lists this ribosomal RNA (460 nucleotides) under uncultured bacterium. RNAcentral describes it as "partial 16S ribosomal RNA". It matches the Rfam family "Bacterial small subunit ribosomal RNA", at positions 338 to 795 of the family's 1533-position model. The record is from RNAcentral.